AAACAAAUAGGUUUGGUCCUAGCCUUUCUAUUAACUCUUAGCAAGAUUACACACGCAAGCAUCCCCGCCCCAGUGAGGACACCCUGGAAAUCACAACGAUCAUACGGAGUAAGUAUCAAGCACGCACAAUGCUGCUCAAAACACUUUGCUCAGCCACACUCCCACGGGAGACAGCAGUGACAAACCUUUAGCAAUCAACGAAAGUUUAACUAAGCUAUGCUACAGUUAGGGUUGGUUAAUUUCGUGCCAGCCACCGCAGCCAUACGAUUAACCCAAGCUAAUAGAGACCGGCGAAAAGGGUGUUUAAGAUCUAAUCGAAUAAAGCUAAACUCCAUCUAAAUUGUAAAACCUUAGCUGAUGUAAAAUAAACUACGAAAGUGGCUUUACAAUUUCUGAACACACAAUAGCUAAGACUCAAACUGGGAUUAGAGACCCCACUAUGCUGAGCCCUAAACCUCAAUAAUUAAAAUAACAAAACUACUCGCCAGAAUACUACAAGCAACAGCUUGAAACUCAAAGGACUUGGCGGUGCUUCACCCCUCUAGAGAAGCCUGUUCCGUAAUCGAUAAACCCCGAUCCACCUCACCAUCUCUUGCUCAGCCUAUCUACCGCCAUCUUCAGCAAACCCUGAUAAAGGUCACAAAGUGAGCGCAAGUACCCCUUUUCGCAAAAACGUUAGGUCAAGGUGUAGCCUAUGAGAUGGUAAAAAACGGACUACAUUUUCUACUCCAGAAAACCCCACGAUAACUCUUAUGAAACCUAAGAGUCCAAGGAGGAUUUAGCAGUCAAUUAAGAACAGAGUGCUUAAUUGAACCAGGCCAUAAAGCACGCACACACCGCCCGUCACUCUCCUCAAGUAUAUUUAAGGACUAACUUAACUAAACACCCCAAUAUUUAUAUGGAGGAGAUAAGUCGUAACACGGUAAGUGUACUGGAAGGUCCACUUGGAUAAAUCAAAGC
RNAcentral lists this non-coding RNA (960 nucleotides) under Chlorocebus sabaeus (green monkey). Lineage: Eukaryota; Metazoa; Chordata; Mammalia; Primates; Cercopithecidae. The record is from Rfam by way of RNAcentral.